CCAGCCAAUAUUAGGAAAUGCUCCCUGCUGUCUUGUAAAUCUCUGAUGCCACCAGUAAUAGCUGAGGGGAGAAAUUCCAGGCCAGUGUAUUCUGAGGCAAGCAAAAUGAAAAGGGGGAGGUCACGCAUACCGUAUCACGGUCACAUUUGCUAAUGAUGAAAUCUUGCCCCCGCCAAGUCAGUUGGGAAUGUUGCCAUUUGCUGUUCUAGUGGGAAUUUUGACAGAGAUUUCAGCUGCAUGAUGCAGUUUGACAGUACAUCUGAGGCCGUCGACCAGCUAGCUCCCCCUCCCUCUGCCCCCAGCUGCUCUUUUCUUCCACUGCCUCCUUCAUAUGGGCGCAGAUGCUCAUCCGACUCAUGAACAGCAAAGAGCGAGAUACCACGUCAGCGAGGCUGUAUUGUCAUCCACAUCUCUUCACUUGCACUGAGUGUGAGAUGGGGUCUUUGGUAUACAGAGGCUUCGUAUUAACGGUAUUUUCCUGUCCUCUGGAUAUGUUUGCUACAGCAAUGCACAGGAACCAACCAGAGCUGGAGUGCAAGAGCCUCCUACGUCAGUAAACAAGAAGGGCAUAGGUUCAGGGAAAGGGACUGAUAUAGGAACAAAGGGAACAAGCGUGGUGUUACUCAUAUUUCUGUCCUUAGGUGCUCCUCAGAAGCCCUGCACCGCGGCAUGUGUGCUUGCCGGGAUGCAGGGACUCCCUCAUGACCACAACUCUGCGCAUCAGGAAGUCACUUGAGAGCAGCACAGCUCUUUCCCAGGAGAUAAGUGAGGAGUUUUUGCCUGCACAGCAGCUCUCCUGAGCGUUCCCAUGCUGGGAGGGAGGGAGGAACCCGAUCUGGCCUGCCCUGGCGCUGCUGGGAACAUCCGGGGGGCAUUAUGUAAUCUGCAGGGGAGGUUUUCCGUGCAGCCUGGCAAGGCAGUGUCUAAUGAUGGCUCUCCCUUCGUCUGUGCUGCACAAUCGAGCUCAUGAUCUUCUCUCCAGCACAGGCAGCCCAUGGUGCUGUGUCCUGCACUGCUCUGAUACGAGGACAGAGCUGUGAGCAGGACAGGGAGCCACACAGUGCUUUAAUCAAUGAAUCACCUACUCUGAGUGUUAGUUAGGCACAAAUCAUUAAUGGUCUAAAAGGGCUGGAAUAAGUAAGCCCAGCUCCAUUUUCAUGGAAGUACAGAUUGUGUCUUUUUCAGGAGGCACGGGAAACCCUUCUUAAGUUUAAAAACAAACUUCUCAACUUUGGCUUCUGAGUAAUGCCACUGAUUUCAUUUUCCAAAGGUCACAGGGGAACUCUCUUCUGCUAUUUCCAAAGAGCAUGACAAAUGUUACUCUAACAAAGAGACAAAUUGUUCAAUGCAAAUCUACUCAGCAAUUACCUUGCCAUAAAGGUAUUUACAGCAGGUACACUAAGAUAAACCAGUUUAUUUCUUACUGUUUUUCUAAGAAAAAAAGAAAAGAAAAGAAAAGAAAAGAGAAGAGAAAAGAAGAGAAAAAAGAAAAGAGAAAAGCUCUAGUCAUUUUGUGGGCUGCUCGCAAUGUGCUUGACUCACCCAUGCACGCAGGGCAACGCAGCCCUUCCUCCUGAAGAGCUCCUGAUCUCAGUCCCAGGGCAUCUGUGUAUCUGAGAUGGGAGCAGCCUUUAGUGGCACAGCAUCUCACGCUGAUAGGUCAAGCAACAAUGCCAGCUGAGGGGACGUGCAGCCAGGGCUAAGGAGAAGAUGGGAUCUUGACCUUCUUGAUUCAGAUGUGCUCUGUCUCUCCAGCAGUGAGGAAGAAUAUCAAAGGGGAGGAUAUAGCCUGCAAAUCUUCUGUCUUAAUCGAAAUGGAGACCUUUCCACAGCCCACACCUCUGAAUCAAAGGGAGCAAAUUCAUCCCCUUCCUCCCUGUUGUCAGGCUGUUGGGAAGUAGUUGGGAUAGCCCUUAUCAAAGGAAAUGCAGCCCUUUCCUUAAGCUUGUGUGUCAGUGUUGUUGUGUAAACACAGAUCAAUAAGGUGACACAAAUCCUAUCCUAUUACCAGUAUUCAGCAGCAAAUGAAGUACCCUUAAGCUUAGCAUAUUAUCAUUUCAUGCAUUUAACAAUUAAAGACUUAGAUAGGAUUAAUUACUUUUAAGGUGAGUCUUUAUAAUUGCCUCCUUAUAAUGGAGUCUGCAACCAGGCAGCAUGGCUUUAUGUCACUAGCAGAAAUCAAAGACAAUUUCUCAAAUGGAUAGAAAAUGUUUAUUUAACAGGCCUUAUGUUUCUUCUCUUAAGUUUCCCUUAAGAGAAAAAUAACUCCUGAGGAAAGAGCACGUCAAGCACUAAUACAUGAACUUGAUAAAGAACUGCCUACAGCUGGGGUUUUCACUCUAUUUUUGUUGCUCCGCGUAUGAGUAUUUUCAGCAUCGUGUUGUUUCUUUUCACAAAGCCCCUGAACAGAUCAAAUGAAGCAAUACCACAACAGAAAACUGCUGAUAGGAAUCACAGCCAUAAGUGCUGGAUGGAGUUACUAGAUCCCAAAGCCCAUUUCUGACACCUCUUUUUCAUACAAAAUGCUGAGGGAAGGGAGAGGAAGGGAGUCUUUGGAUUCCACCACAAAACAUGUCAGCUGCCUAUUUACUUAUUUGCUGCUCUGCAUUAUGACCGGCUGGCUGAAAGAGAACAGCUGGGUCCAUCAAAAGUGCUGGACCUUCAAAUGAUGGAGGGACUACAAAGGAAAACUCAGCAUGCCACAAGGAACAGAGUACAAAAGGAGUUGGACAGAGUUUCCCUAGAGGAGAUGACACUAAGAAAGAGCCUCGUGACUUCUGUUCAGGCAAAGCACUGAGUUUAGUAUGCAAAGAAGUGGGUAGGUUGUUCAGUUUGCUACCACCCAUAUACCUCAACUACAACUCGACCAGAAUGGCUAGAUGAAUUUAUAGUCAUGCCUGGCCUUGCCAUAUAUGGACCUGGAAAUAUCUCUUGUAGAAGUAAGUGCUAAUUUGUCCCACAUGGCACAGUCAUUUUUGUUUUUCUUUCCUAAGGCAGUGUACAGGGAAGUUUAUUAGUACUAACUCCACUCCACUGUAACACCACUCACAGUGCUUGGGUGAUAAAGCACAAGCCAUAAAAAGCCAUUAGUUAGGUCCUCUAGAAACAACAACAAAAAGCAAAGAUUUCAAGGAGGGUUGUUUUCGAUGGGUGGCCUGUUUCUGAUUUUUGAGGCUUCCUACUGCCUACAUUUUUCUCAGUCCUGUGAACUAGAAAUUUGUGCUUUUAUUCUUGGUAUUAACUCUCAAGGCCUUUAGAUAUUGCUCUGACUCCAAGAAGCCAGGCUUCCUGCAAAACAUAUCACAAGAUCUGUGGUAGAAGCCCUAUUUAAGUUACUGAAUUCUAAUGCAAAAAAAAAACCCAGGAGUUAGGUGGGAAGCGUGCAACUCCCACGCAAUCCUUUCCCAUUUUGCAAUGAGCUCUCAUUUGCUCCCUGGUUACAAGAUCACGAAGCAGUUGUCUUCUCAUUUCUGAAAUAUCGGCAAACCCUCCUCUGCAAAACUGAAAAUGUUUUGAAUACUAAAAUGAAGGAUGAGAUUUUUCAAGCCUGCCUGGGGGAGCAGAAUGACUCGUUCCCACUACAAUGAAAAGGGAAUGGAUCUCUGCAUCUUCUGGACAAUUGUGCAUGGGACAUUGGGGCUGGUAUUUUACAGUCUGUCACUUGCCAAGAAGUGACAGCAGUGCAGGACCUUUGCUGUGCAUGUUGGCCAUGUACAACUGUGUUUUAAAAACACGGCUCCUGAGCUGAUCUUCUGUGAGUGUCUGACUGCAGCUUGUUCAGAUGUAGUUCAGACCUUAGUCCGCAGCUCUAUCUGAGAAGCGUCUGUAAGAUUGAUCCAUAAUAGGACUUUGUAAUGCAUUGGCAGCAUUGUUUUACUGCAGGUUUUAUUGCACACGGAGAGUACUUAGGUGGCUUCCCAUCGCAGGAGGUGUUUAUCUCUUGGGUAAGGAUUAGUACAGUUCUGUACCACAAAGUCUGGUAUAGCUGAGUAAGUGGUUUAGAGUAAUCCUCCUGAGAAGGAUUGCUGUCCUGAAGGGACUCCUGAGAAGGCUCUCUGGUUGUACCAGGCUUUCAGAUGACUUUCAAGCAGUUUUCUUUCAUUUGGAGAUUGUGCAGCUUUUCUGUGAUGAGGGAGAGACUUUUCUCCAAGACAUCUGGUCAGUGUUUUGAGUUAUCAUAGAGCUCAAAGACAGUAUUUACUGUGUCAAGAAGAUGCCACUGGGUCAUCAGAAGAUGAUAAAAGUAUGACUCUUGCAAGUGGGCUCUCCAGUAUAGACAGGGUCCUGCCUGGACAACUCUGGGUUCUGCUUAUCUGUCUCAUGCAGAUUUGAUUCUCAACAUACUCUUGUUUUGCAUUAAGGCACCUUCAGAAUUGCAAAUGAAGUUAAGCACCACGCCAGAGGUGCUUUGCAGUAACAGGGUAGGCAUGCCUUCAAUGCAGUGCCCAGUCACGUGGAAAUCUGUUUUCUAGCGUUUGGAAUAAAGGGCAAACAGGAGCUCCUUAAGCUCACAGUGAUUGGAGGAGUGGGGAGUCCUAUAUCCUCUCUGCCUCUUUCUAUCCUCAUAUAAAGGUUGAUAAUUUCUGUUCUUAAAAUGCCCCAGCCUAGCUGGAUCUUAUUUUUUUAUUAGCCACUUAGUGUAAAUUUCUGCUCUGGGCUAUGUAGGAAAUACGAUUCUAGUUCACACAUCUUGAGUUUAGAGAAAAAAAGAAAGGAAGCAGUAUCGCUCUGUCUUAGAGGGAUAUUGCUAGACUAAGAAGGAGGUCAUACACAAUGGCAAAAUAGAAAUGAUGGUAGUUGCAAUAGGAGUCUUGAUGGUGAAGGAGAUUUUAAACAGUCCAGAUAUAAAACAUAUCCUUGGGGCCCUGGCAAGGAUGCAAACAUCUCUCCCACACAACCUCAGUCGCUCUUGAAAAGCCAAGUCCUGGAAUUUUAAAAAGCAAAAAUAUUACAGCGAUAGCAACAACAAACAUGAAAAUCAGAUGUUAAAUGAUUGCUAAUGAUCUUAUCAAUGUAUAAAUGAGAGGAAGAGGAGGGAGUAAGAAGCACUUAAUAUUCUUCAGGGUUUAUUUUUAAUUCUUCAACAAUUAUUGAUGGAACUAAAGCAAUCCAUAACAUCAGGGUUUUACAGGGAGUUUUCUGUUUUAUAAUAGAAAAGACAGACAUUAUGGUGUUUGGCAGAGGAGGGGAAAUGGAUUCCUGCAACACAGAAAAAGCCAAGGGAAGAAUAUAGAACCAAGAUCCUGUGGGAUGGUUGGGUUUUUGCCUGGACAGCUAAUUUCAGCUUUUUUCAGGCUCAGCUGGACCCGAAAGCCCAGGACCACCUACAGCAGAUUGGAGAUGUGGAGAUACCCAGUGUGCAUUGAUGGAUAUCUCACCAUAACACCAGUCAGGCAGUCGCAGGCAACACAUUGGUCCUUCCUGCGAGCUGCACUCCAGCUCAGGUACGUGGCGUGUGCUGUGCUAGGGUGAAGAGAGAAGUGACAACCGAGUGAACACGUUGCAGGCACUGUGCACGUUUGGCUCUCCAACUCAGAGAUAACCCAGAGGAAUGGUCAGACGACUGAGAGACGUAACUGCUCUGGCAACCCAGCUGGGCCACAGGAUAUUUGUAGGAAAUGGAGCUGCAGCAGGGAAAUCUGGACAGUUGGAGCUUCCCUUGUGCAAAAGGACCAGGGCACAAAUGCCAGCUGCUGUGUGUAAAAUUCCUCCUUCCUUUGCUGUAGCAAGCUGCGAACAGCGCUAUGCCUAGUCAAUUAUUUCACCGACAUGUCAUGAACUUUAUCCUUUACCUUUGCAACAACUCUGUAUUUUAAUGUUGCGUUGAGAAUCCUGAGAAAUAAACAUUCUUCUAUGUUACAGCA
This is a long non-coding RNA of Dromaius novaehollandiae (emu), 5864 nucleotides long. RefSeq lists it as uncharacterized. Lineage: Eukaryota; Metazoa; Chordata; Aves; Casuariiformes; Dromaiidae. The transcript has 3 exons. The record is from RefSeq and is a predicted model, not a curated record.